Molecule: unclassified non-coding RNA, 240 nt
Filed under: soil metagenome
Description: partial contains 5.8S ribosomal RNA, internal transcribed spacer 2, and large subunit ribosomal RNA
Source: RNAcentral
AACUGAUACUACCUGCGGGAACCUGCGGAAGGAUCAUUACCGAGUUUUCAACUCCCUAACCCUUCUGUGAACCUACCUAUCGUUGCUUCGGCGGACUCGCCCCAGCCCGGACGCGGACUGGACCAGCGGCCCGCCGGGGACCUCAAACUCUUGUAUUCCAGCAUCUUCUGAAUACGCCGCAAGGCAAAACAAAUGAAUCAAAACUUUCAGCAACGGAUCUCUAGAUCGGAAGAGCACACG